RNAcentral lists this ribosomal RNA (253 nucleotides) under uncultured bacterium. RNAcentral describes it as "partial 16S ribosomal RNA". It matches the Rfam family "Bacterial small subunit ribosomal RNA", at positions 524 to 776 of the family's 1533-position model. The record is from RNAcentral.
UACGUAGGGGCCUAGCGUUGUCCGGAAUUAUUGGGCGUAAAGAGCUCGUAGGCGGUUCGGCAAGUCGGAUGUGAAAUCUCCUCGCUCAACGGGGAGAGGCCAUUGGAAACGGUCGGGCUGGAGGGCAGUAGAGGUAGGCGGAAUUCCGGGUGGAGUGGUGAAAUGCGUAGAGAUCCGGAGGAACACCAGAGGCGAAGGCGGCCUACUGGGCUGCACCUGACGCUGAGCCGCGAAAGCCAGGGGAGCGAACGGG